This 372-nucleotide ribosomal RNA is filed under the name uncultured bacterium. Its description in RNAcentral is "bacterial SSU rRNA". It matches the Rfam family "Bacterial small subunit ribosomal RNA", at positions 527 to 896 of the family's 1533-position model. The record is from RNAcentral.
GUAGGGUGCGAGCGUUGUCCGGAAUUAUUGGGCGUAAAGGGCUCGUAGGCGGUCUGUUGCGUCGGGAGUGAAAACUCAGGGCUUAACCCUGAGCCUGCUUCCGAUACGGGCAGACUAGAGGUAUGCAGGGGAGAACGGAAUUCCUGGUGUAGCGGUGAAAUGCGCAGAUAUCAGGAGGAACACCGGUGGSGAAGGCGGUUCUCUGGGCAUUACCUGACGCUGAGGAGCGAAAGUGUGGGAAGCGAACAGGAUUAGAUACCCUGGUAGUCCACACCGUAAACGUUGGGCGCUAGGUGUGGGACUCAUUCCACGAGUUCCGUGCCGCAGCUAACGCAUUAAGCGCCCCGCCUGGGGAGUACGGCCGCAAGGCUA